CAGUCGCCGCGGUAAAACGAAGGGGGCUAGCGUUGUUCGGAUUUACUGGGCGUAAAGCGCACGUAGGCGGAUCGAUCAGUCAGGGGUGAAAUCCCAGAGCUCAACUCUGGAACUGCCUUUGAUACUGUCGAUCUGGAGUAUGGAAGAGGUGAGUGGAAUUCCGAGUGUAGAGGUGAAAUUCGUAGAUAUUCGGAGGAACACCAGUGGCGAAGGCGGCUCACUGGUCCAUUACUGACGCUGAGGUGCGAGAGCGUGGGGAGCAAACAGGAUUAGAUACCCCUGUAGUCCCUGUCUCUUAUAC
Molecule: ribosomal RNA, 301 nt
Filed under: uncultured bacterium
Lineage: Bacteria
Description: partial 16S ribosomal RNA
Rfam family: Bacterial small subunit ribosomal RNA
Source: RNAcentral